UAUAUACUCCCUCCGUCUCAAAAUUCUUGUAUUAGAUUUGUCUACGUAUAGAUGUAUCUAGUCACAUCUUAGUGUUAGAUACACUCGUAUAUAGAUAAAUUUAAGACAAGAAUUUUGGGAUGGUAGGAGUAUGUG
Triticum aestivum (bread wheat) is the source of this 135-nucleotide non-coding RNA. NCBI's taxonomy places the organism in Eukaryota, Viridiplantae, Streptophyta, Magnoliopsida, Poales, Poaceae. The record is from Rfam.